GGAGGGGGUUAGCGUUGUUCGGAAUUACUGGGCGUAAAGCGUACGUAGGCGGAUUGGAAAGUUGGGGGUGAAAUCCCAGGGCUCAACCCUGGAACUGCCUCCAAAACUAUCAGUCUAGAGUUCGAGAGAGGUGAGUGGAAUUCCAAGUGUAGAGGUGAAAUUCGUAGAUAUUUGGAGGAACACCAGUGGCGAAGGCGGCUCACUGGCUCGAUACUGACGCUGAGGUACGAAAGUGUGGGGAGCAAACAGGAUUAGAUACCCUGGUAGUCCACCCCGUAAACGAUGAAUGCCAGUCGUCGGGCAGUAUACUUGUUCGGUGACCCCCCUUACGGAUUAAGCCUUUCCCCUGGGGAGUACGGUCGCAAGAUU
This 369-nucleotide ribosomal RNA is filed under the name uncultured Paracoccaceae bacterium. Its description in RNAcentral is "bacterial SSU rRNA". It matches the Rfam family "Bacterial small subunit ribosomal RNA", at positions 527 to 895 of the family's 1533-position model. The record is from RNAcentral. Lineage: Bacteria; Pseudomonadati; Pseudomonadota; Alphaproteobacteria; Rhodobacterales; Paracoccaceae.